UACGUAGGGUGCAAGCGUUAAUCGGAAUUACUGGGCGUAAAGCGUGCGCAGGCGGCUUUGUAAGACAGAUGUGAAAUGCCCGGGCUUAACCUGGGAACUGCAUUUGUGACUGCAUGGCUAGAGUUUGGCAGAGGGGGGUAGAAUUCCACGUGUAGCAGUGAAAUGCGUAGAUAUGUGGAGGAACACCGAUGGCGAAGGCAGCCCCCUGGGUCAAGACUGACGCUCAUGCACGAAAGCGUGGGGAGCAAACAGG
Molecule: ribosomal RNA, 253 nt
Filed under: uncultured bacterium
Lineage: Bacteria
Description: partial 16S ribosomal RNA
Rfam family: Bacterial small subunit ribosomal RNA
Source: RNAcentral